GAUUAAAUGGCUGAAGUUUAGGCAAUAGAUUGUAAAUCUAUUUAUAAGAAGUUUUUCUUUUUAAUCA
Molecule: transfer RNA, 67 nt
Filed under: Phytomia zonata
Lineage: Eukaryota; Metazoa; Arthropoda; Insecta; Diptera; Syrphidae
Description: tRNA-Tyr
Rfam family: tRNA
About the family: Transfer RNA (tRNA) molecules are approximately 80 nucleotides in length. Their secondary structure includes four short double-helical elements and three loops (D, anti-codon, and T loops).
Source: RNAcentral